UGGGGAAUUUUGGACAAUGGGCGAAAGCCUGAUCCAGCAAUGCCGCGUGUGUGAAGAAGGCCUUCGGGUUGUAAAGCACUUUUGUCCGGAAAGAAAUCCUUGGCUCUAAUACAGUCGGGGGAUGACGGUACCGGAAGAAUAAGCACCAGCUAACUACGUGCCAGCAGCCGCGGUAAUACGUAGGGUGCAAGCGUUAAUCGGAAUUACUGGGCGUAAAGCGUGCGCAGGCGGUUUGCUAAGACCGAUGUGAAAUCCCCGGGCUCAACCUGGGAACUGCAUUGGUGACUGGCAGGCUAGAGUAUGGCAGAGGGGGGUAGAAUUCCACGUGUAGCAGUGAAAUGCGUAGAGAUGUGGAGGAAUACCGAUGGCGAAGGCAGCCCCCUGGGCCAAUACUGACGCUCAUGCACGAAAGCGUGGGGAGCAAACAGGAUUAGAUACCCUGGUAGUCCACGCCCUAAACGAUGUCAACUAGUUGUUGGGGAUUCAUUUCCUUAGUAACGUAGCUAACGCGUGAAGUUGACCGCCUGGGGAGUACGGUCGCAAGAUUAAAAGCUUAAA
RNAcentral lists this ribosomal RNA (558 nucleotides) under uncultured bacterium. RNAcentral describes it as "partial 16S ribosomal RNA". It matches the Rfam family "Bacterial small subunit ribosomal RNA", at positions 355 to 905 of the family's 1533-position model. The record is from RNAcentral.